This 253-nucleotide ribosomal RNA is filed under the name uncultured bacterium. RNAcentral's name for it is "partial 16S ribosomal RNA". It matches the Rfam family "Bacterial small subunit ribosomal RNA", at positions 524 to 776 of the family's 1533-position model. The record is from RNAcentral.
UACAGAGGUGGCAAGCGUUGUUCGGAAUUACUGGGCGUAAAGGGCGCGUAGGCGGCCAUCUAAGUCAGACGUGAAAUCCCUCGGCUUAACCGGGGAACUGCGUCUGAUACUGGAUGGCUUGAGUUUGGGAGAGGGAUGCGGAAUUCCAGGUGUAGCGGUGAAAUGCGUAGAUAUCUGGAGGAACACCGGUGGCGAAGGCGGCAUCCUGGACCAACACUGACACUGAGGAGCGAAAGCCAGGGGAGCAAACGGG